CUUAUCAAGAAAGGCGGAGGGAUUGGCCCGAUGAAACCUUAGCAACCAGAUGACUUAUAAUCUAAGGUGCUAAAUCCAACCUAUCAAAGGGAAAGAUGAG
Molecule: non-coding RNA, 100 nt
Filed under: Empedobacter stercoris
Lineage: Bacteria; Pseudomonadati; Bacteroidota; Flavobacteriia; Flavobacteriales; Weeksellaceae
Description: SAM riboswitch (S box leader)
Rfam family: SAM riboswitch aptamer (S box leader)
About the family: The SAM riboswitch is found upstream of a number of genes which code for proteins involved in methionine or cysteine biosynthesis in Gram-positive bacteria. The SAM riboswitch acts at the level of transcription termination control.
Source: RNAcentral